GUGCUCGCUUCGGCAGCAUAUAUACUAAAAUUGGAACGAUACAGAGAAGAUUAACAUGGCCCCUGCGAAAGGAUGACACGCAAAGCUUUCAAACGUGUUU
RNAcentral lists this small nuclear RNA (100 nucleotides) under Octodon degus (degu). Lineage: Eukaryota; Metazoa; Chordata; Mammalia; Rodentia; Octodontidae. The record is from RNAcentral.